This 443-nucleotide ribosomal RNA is filed under the name uncultured bacterium. RNAcentral's name for it is "partial 16S ribosomal RNA". It matches the Rfam family "Bacterial small subunit ribosomal RNA", at positions 338 to 795 of the family's 1533-position model. The record is from RNAcentral.
CCUACGGGUGACAGCAGUGGGGAAUAUUGGGCAAUGGGGGCAACCCUGACCCAGCAACGCCGCGUGAAUGAAGAAGGCCCUCGGGUUGUAAACUUCUUUUGUCAGGGACGAAACAAAUGACGGUACCUGACGAAUAAGCCACGGCUAACUACGUGCCAGCAGCCGCGGUAAUACGUAGGUGGCAAGCGUUAUCCGGAUUUACUGGGUGUAAAGGGCGUGUAGGCGGGUGAGCAAGUCAGAUGUGAAAUUCCAGGGCUCAACCCUGGAACUGCAUUUGAAACUGUUUUUCUUGAGUGAUGGAGGGGGAGGUAGAAUUCCGUGUGUAGCGGUGAAAUGCGUAGAGAUACGGAGGAACACCAGAGGCGAAGGCGGCCUGCUGGACAUUAACUGACGCUGAGGCGCGAAAGCGUGGGGAGCAAACAGGAUUAGAUACCCGAGUAGUC